This 69-nucleotide transfer RNA is filed under the name Polypedilum unifascium. RNAcentral describes it as "tRNA-Gln". Lineage: Eukaryota; Metazoa; Arthropoda; Insecta; Diptera; Chironomidae. The record is from RNAcentral.
UAUACUUUAAUGUAUGGUGCAUAAAAGAUUUUGAUUCUUUAAGAGAUAGUUUAAUUCUAUUGAGUAUAA